GUAUCGGACCAUAGCUGUGGUGACACCGACCCAGUGGACGCUGAGACCAUAAGGCAAUCAUUUUCCCAAGAAGAUAUUAUACAAUGGCAACCUUCUGAUUUCAAGCAUUGCGACUUGUCUAUGCUCGUCAUUCAAGGUUUUCAAGUCCAAGAAAAAUUCAUGAAGUACAUAAAACGUCUCAUGAAAGUGGCAACAAAUUUGGAAGAGAUGUGUUUGUUGCGCGAUGAAUGCAAGAACUGUGGAUUUUACCGAUCUGGAGGAUAUCCGCGGACAGAUAAGGAGAGGGACUCAACGAGAAGACAGAUUAACCACGGAAGAUGCGCCCCGAUCAAAGUGACUUUUUGA
This 345-nucleotide ribosomal RNA is filed under the name Triticum aestivum (bread wheat). RNAcentral's name for it is "partial small subunit ribosomal RNA". The record is from RNAcentral. Lineage: Eukaryota; Viridiplantae; Streptophyta; Magnoliopsida; Poales; Poaceae.